RNAcentral lists this ribosomal RNA (253 nucleotides) under uncultured bacterium. RNAcentral's name for it is "partial 16S ribosomal RNA". It matches the Rfam family "Bacterial small subunit ribosomal RNA", at positions 524 to 776 of the family's 1533-position model. The record is from RNAcentral.
UACGUAGGGGGCAAGCGUUGUCCGGAAUCAUUGGGCGUAAAGAGCGUGUAGGCGGCCUGGUAAGUCCGCUGUGAAAGUCCAGGGCUCAACCCUGGAAUGCCGGUGGAAACUGUCAGGCUCGAGUCCGGAAGAGGCGAGUGGAAUUCCCGGUGUAGCGGUGAAAUGCGCAGAUAUCGGGAGGAACACCUAUGGCGAAGGCAGCUCGCUGGGACGUUACUGACGCUGAGACGCGAAAGCGUGGGGAGCAAACAGG